RNAcentral lists this ribosomal RNA (457 nucleotides) under Entrophospora claroidea. RNAcentral's name for it is "partial 28S large subunit ribosomal RNA". It matches the Rfam family "Eukaryotic large subunit ribosomal RNA", at positions 204 to 608 of the family's 3401-position model. The record is from RNAcentral. Lineage: Eukaryota; Fungi; Glomeromycota; Glomeromycetes; Entrophosporales; Entrophosporaceae.
CAUAGAGGGUGACAAUCCCGUCUGCGACCGGUCGUGCGUUCAUCUACGAUACGCUUUCAAAGAGUCGAGUUGUUUGGGAUUGCAGCUCCAAAUGGGUGGUAAACAUCACCUAAGGCUAAAUAUUGGCGAGAGACCGAUAGCGAACAGGUACCGUGAGGGAAAGAUGAAAAGAACUUUGAAAAGAGAGUUAAACAGUACGUGAAAUUGUUGAAAGGGAAACGAUUGAAGUCAGUCGUGCUGGCGCGAAAUCAACCCUCUCGUCGAGAGGACACAUGGCGUGGCGAGCCUCAAAACCGUCACGAAGCGUGAACUCUUGGCGAAAAGGAGCACUUUCGUGUCCGCUGGUUAACAUCAAUUUCGAACGUCAUAAAAAGGCUGGAGGGAUGUGGCUCCUUCGGGAGUGUUAUAACCUUUAGCGGAAUGUGGUGGUCGGGAUUGAGGAUUGCAACGAAUACCU